GUGGAAAUGCCAGAGUGUAUAUGGACUUGGUUUAGGACUAAGUUACGAUAAUUAUAUCUUUCCAUU
This 66-nucleotide transfer RNA is filed under the name Nippotaenia mogurndae. RNAcentral's name for it is "tRNA-Leu". The record is from RNAcentral. Lineage: Eukaryota; Metazoa; Platyhelminthes; Cestoda; Nippotaeniidea; Nippotaeniidae.